GGGGACGUAGCUCAGCCCGGUUUAAAGCGCUGCCCUGUCACGGCAGAGAUCGUGGGUUCAAAUCCCAUCGUCCCCG
RNAcentral lists this transfer RNA (76 nucleotides) under Patescibacteria group bacterium. RNAcentral describes it as "tRNA-Asp". It matches the Rfam family "tRNA". From Rfam's summary of the family: Transfer RNA (tRNA) molecules are approximately 80 nucleotides in length. Their secondary structure includes four short double-helical elements and three loops (D, anti-codon, and T loops). Further hydrogen bonds mediate the characteristic L-shaped molecular structure. tRNAs have two regions of fundamental functional importance: the anti-codon, which is responsible for specific mRNA codon recognition, and the 3' end, to which the tRNAs corresponding amino acid is attached (by aminoacyl-tRNA synthetases). tRNAs cope with the degeneracy of the genetic code in two manners: having more than one tRNA (with a specific anti-codon) for a particular amino acid; and 'wobble' base-pairing, i.e. permitting non-standard base-pairing at the 3rd anti-codon position. The record is from RNAcentral.